AGUGAACGCUGGCGGUAGGCCUAACACAUGCAAGUCGAACGGCAGCACAAUAAGAGCUUGCUCUUACGGGUGGCGAGUGGCGGACGGGUGAGGAAUACAUCGGAAUCUACUUUUUCGUGGGGGAUAACGUAGGGAAACUUACGCUAAUACCGCAUACGACCUACGGGUGAAAGCAGGGGAUCUUCGGACCUUGCGCGAUUGAAUGAGCCGAUGUCGGAUUAGCUAGUUGGCGGGGUAAAGGCCCACCAAGGCGACGAUCCGUAGCUGGUCUGAGAGGAUGGUCGCCCACACUGGAACUGAGACACGCUCCAGACUCCUACGGGAGGCAGCAGUGGGGAAUAUUGGACAGUGGGCGCGAGCCUGGUCCAGCCAUCCCGCGUGUGUGAAGAAGGCCUUCGGGUUGUAAAGCCCUUUUGUUGGGAAAGAACAGCAGCAGGUUAAUACCACGCUGUUCUGACGGUACCCAAAGAAUAAGCACCGGCUAACUUCGUG
This 492-nucleotide ribosomal RNA is filed under the name uncultured bacterium. RNAcentral's name for it is "partial 16S ribosomal RNA". It matches the Rfam family "Bacterial small subunit ribosomal RNA", at positions 29 to 507 of the family's 1533-position model. The record is from RNAcentral.